GGAAUGUGUCAAAUGCAGUUUUGGUAUCUUCCAUUGAUAACCAACUAUCAAUCGGUCAAAGCAACUUGCUAAGCUUUCCAUGCCACACUCAAGCAGUAGAGCGAACUGUUAAGCUUAUUACUGAAGCGUCGAAGAAGUUUGCCUAAAUUUGAGAACAAGUCCCAGUAUACAACAGACAAAUAAAACAAAAUCGAAAAACAAAAAGAAAAUU
Molecule: long non-coding RNA, 211 nt
Organism: Drosophila ananassae
Lineage: Eukaryota; Metazoa; Arthropoda; Insecta; Diptera; Drosophilidae
Exons: 2
Source: RefSeq, a predicted model, not a curated record